AUGAUGAGGAUGAAGACCUUUAUGAUAAUCCACUUCCACUUAGUGAAUGGUGGACCUCCACAGGAACAAAUCAGAUCCAUGUCAGGUGGCACCAAACCUAAAUCUGCUUCUGCCUCAGCAGACAGGACACGUAGCUGUGGCUGCUGUGACUUCUGUGGCACUUGGGAUGGAAAAACGUGGGAUGCAAACCUAUUCUAGCAAUGCCUAGAGAUGCAGGGGAUAGAAAUUUCUGUCGACCGGGCGUGGUGACUCAAGCCUGUAAUCCCGGCACUUUGGGAGGACGAGAUGGGCGGAUCACGAGGUCAGGAAAUGGAGACCAUCCUGGCUAACACCGUGAAACCCUGUCUCUACUAAAAAAAAAAAAUACAAAAAACUAACCGGGCCAGGUGGCGGGCGCCUGUAGUCCCAGCUACUCGGGAGGCUGAGGCAGGAGAAUGGCGUAAACCCGGGAGGCUGGAGUGCAGUGGCCCGAUCUCAGCUCACUGCAAGCUCAGCCUGGGCGACAGAGCAAGACUCCAUCUCAAAAAAAAAAAAAAAAGAAAUUUCUUCUGUCUUAAUGUACUAGAUAAAAUUUAUAUUUGUUGAAACAAUUAGCUACUCCUUGACCAACAAGGCAAGAGCUCCACUAUAUGGCAUCACUCAUGUAGAUUGUGAACAAGAAAGCAUGGUUUGAUCUGACCACCUCAAAACAUUAUUUUUGUUUCCUAUUUGAAACUCAGAAUUUGCAAAUAGAGUCUUUGCAGAUGUAGUUGUUUAGGUUAGGA
This 764-nucleotide long non-coding RNA is filed under the name Papio anubis (olive baboon). Its description in RNAcentral is "lncRNA (ENSPANG00000050025.1)". The record is from RNAcentral. Lineage: Eukaryota; Metazoa; Chordata; Mammalia; Primates; Cercopithecidae.